AAAUGAUUUCCAGAUGGCUGAAGAAUAUGUGCAGCUCGCUGUUGAAGUACUCAAUUC
This 57-nucleotide non-coding RNA is filed under the name Eucampia antarctica. The record is from RNAcentral. Lineage: Eukaryota; Bacillariophyta; Thalassiosirophyceae; Eucampiales; Eucampiaceae.